UAAUCAUCAGCUAACAAUGUAGCAAUGCUCUCGGAAAAGACGGCAAGAAACAACGUAUUCACACUGAAUUAUUAGCACGGAAAUGGAUAUCGGACCGAACAGAGUUCUGAUGUUAGAACCCUGACCUGAAAUGUUGGCUCUACUUCUCUCUCAACAGAGGAAUCCGGGUCUUCAUUCUGUUUGAGAUUGCUGCAAUAUAUGAGAAGCUCCUGAAGUCUCCUUGAUAAUCCAGAGGACUGACAACCCCUGGAUUUUGCCAGCACAGCUGUUAGUGUUGUCAUCCAAAGUGCAAAGAUCUAGAUAAUUCAUUUCAUUGACAGCUCCAUAGGAACUAUGAUUGGAAAUAACAUAAAUGAAAUUCCUUUACAGUCACUUGAAAUGUUUCAUAUGUCUGGCUUGAUUAAAGUUACA
Molecule: long non-coding RNA, 411 nt
Organism: Mobula hypostoma (lesser devil ray)
Lineage: Eukaryota; Metazoa; Chordata; Chondrichthyes; Myliobatiformes; Myliobatidae
Exons: 3
Source: RefSeq, a predicted model, not a curated record